GCGGCAAUAUCUCAGUGGUGGAGCCCCCGCUUUGCGUGCGGGAAGACUCGGGUUCUAUUCCCGGCUGCUUCC
Transfer RNA from Toxocara canis (dog roundworm), 72 nucleotides. It matches the Rfam family "tRNA". From Rfam's summary of the family: Transfer RNA (tRNA) molecules are approximately 80 nucleotides in length. Their secondary structure includes four short double-helical elements and three loops (D, anti-codon, and T loops). The record is from Rfam. NCBI's taxonomy places the organism in Eukaryota, Metazoa, Nematoda, Chromadorea, Rhabditida, Toxocaridae.